Molecule: ribosomal RNA, 253 nt
Filed under: uncultured bacterium
Lineage: Bacteria
Description: partial 16S ribosomal RNA
Rfam family: Bacterial small subunit ribosomal RNA
Source: RNAcentral
UACGAAGGGGGCUAGCGUUGUUCGGAAUCAUUGGGCGUAAAGCGCGUGUAGGCGGCCCGGUAAGUCCGCUGUGAAAGUCGGGGGCUCAACCCUCGAAUGCCGGUGGAUACUGUCGGGCUAGAGUGCGGGAGAGGCGAGUGGAAUUCCUGGUGUAGCGGUGAAAUGCGCAGAUAUCAGGAGGAACACCAAUUGCGAAGGCAGCUCGCUGGAACGUAACUGACGCUGAGACGCGAAAGCGUGGGGAGCAAACAGG